AACCCAUCGUGAAGGCAUUGGUUAGCGUAGCUUCUGAACCUCUCCCAAGCUUCACCAAAAGUUUCAUUGUAAAGUUUUAGUCCUGGAGGUU
Molecule: small nucleolar RNA, 91 nt
Filed under: Eutrema salsugineum
Lineage: Eukaryota; Viridiplantae; Streptophyta; Magnoliopsida; Brassicales; Brassicaceae
Description: Plant small nucleolar RNA R71
Rfam family: Plant small nucleolar RNA R71
About the family: R71 is a member of the C/D box family of snoRNAs containing the C (UGAUGA) and D (CUGA) box motifs. Multiple nearly identical copies of this snoRNA have been identified in Arabidopsis, and it is thought to function as a 2'-O-ribose methylation guide for 18S ribosomal RNA.
Source: Rfam by way of RNAcentral